This 2789-nucleotide ribosomal RNA is filed under the name Escherichia coli. Its description in RNAcentral is "bacterial LSU rRNA". It matches the Rfam family "Bacterial large subunit ribosomal RNA". The record is from RNAcentral. Lineage: Bacteria; Pseudomonadati; Pseudomonadota; Gammaproteobacteria; Enterobacterales; Enterobacteriaceae.
AGCGUACACGGUGGAUGCCCUGGCAGUCAGAGGCGAUGAAGGACGUGCUAAUCUGCGAUAAGCGUCGGUAAGGUGAUAUGAACCGUUAUAACCGGCGAUUUCCGAAUGGGGAAACCCAGUGUGAUUCGUCACACUAUCAUUAACUGAAUCCAUAGGUUAAUGAGGCGAACCGGGGGAACUGAAACAUCUAAGUACCCCGAGGAAAAGAAAUCAACCGAGAUUCCCCCAGUAGCGGCGAGCGAACGGGGAGCAGCCCAGAGCCUGAAUCAGUGUGUGUGUUAGUGGAAGCGUCUGGAAAGGCGCGCGAUACAGGGUGACAGCCCCGUACACAAAAAUGCACAUACUGUGAGCUCGAUGAGUAGGGCGGGACACGUGGUAUCCUGUCUGAAUAUGGGGGGACCAUCCUCCAAGGCUAAAUACUCCUGACUGACCGAUAGUGAACCAGUACCGUGAGGGAAAGGCGAAAAGAACCCCGGCGAGGGGAGUGAAAAAGAACCUGAAACCGUGUACGUACAAGCAGUGGGAGCACAGAGCAAUCUGUGUGACUGCGUACCUUUUGUAUAAUGGGUCAGCGACUUAUAUUCUGUAGCAAGGUUAACCGAAUAGGGGAGCCGAAGGGAAACCGAGUCUUAACUGGGCGUUAAGUUGCAGGGUAUAGACCCGAAACCCGGUGAUCUAGCCAUGGGCAGGUUGAAGGUUGGGUAACACUAACUGGAGGACCGAACCGACUAAUGUUGAAAAAUUAGCGGAUGACUUGUGGCUGGGGGUGAAAGGCCAAUCAAACCGGGAGAUAGCUGGUUCUCCCCGAAAGCUAUUUAGGUAGCGCCUCGUGAAUUCAUCUCCGGGGGUAGAGCACUGUUUCGGCAAGGGGGUCAUCCCGACUUACCAACCCGAUGCAAACUGCGAAUACCGGAGAAUGUUAUCACGGGAGACACACGGCGGGUGCUAACGUCCGUCGUGAAGAGGGAAACAACCCAGACCGCCAGCUAAGGUCCCAAAGUCAUGGUUAAGUGGGAAACGAUGUGGGAAGGCCCAGACAGCCAGGAUGUUGGCUUAGAAGCAGCCAUCAUUUAAAGAAAGCGUAAUAGCUCACUGGUCGAGUCGGCCUGCGCGGAAGAUGUAACGGGGCUAAACCAUGCACCGAAGCUGCGGCAGCGACGCUUAUGCGUUGUUGGGUAGGGGAGCGUUCUGUAAGCCUGUGAAGGUGUGCUGUGAGGCAUGCUGGAGGUAUCAGAAGUGCGAAUGCUGACAUAAGUAACGAUAAAGCGGGUGAAAAGCCCGCUCGCCGGAAGACCAAGGGUUCCUGUCCAACGUUAAUCGGGGCAGGGUGAGUCGACCCCUAAGGCGAGGCCGAAAGGCGUAGUCGAUGGGAAACAGGUUAAUAUUCCUGUACUUGGUGUUACUGCGAAGGGGGGACGGAGAAGGCUAUGUUGGCCGGGCGACGGUUGUCCCGGUUUAAGCGUGUAGGCUGGUUUUCCAGGCAAAUCCGGAAAAUCAAGGCUGAGGCGUGAUGACGAGGCACUACGGUGCUGAAGCAACAAAUGCCCUGCUUCCAGGAAAAGCCUCUAAGCAUCAGGUAACAUCAAAUCGUACCCCAAACCGACACAGGUGGUCAGGUAGAGAAUACCAAGGCGCUUGAGAGAACUCGGGUGAAGGAACUAGGCAAAAUGGUGCCGUAACUUCGGGAGAAGGCACGCUGAUAUGUAGGUGAAGUCCCUCGCGGAUGGAGCUGAAAUCAGUCGAAGAUACCAGCUGGCUGCAACUGUUUAUUAAAAACACAGCACUGUGCAAACACGAAAGUGGACGUAUACGGUGUGACGCCUGCCCGGUGCCGGAAGGUUAAUUGAUGGGGUCAGCGCAAGCGAAGCUCUUGAUCGAAGCCCCGGUAAACGGCGGCCGUAACUAUAACGGUCCUAAGGUAGCGAAAUUCCUUGUCGGGUAAGUUCCGACCUGCACGAAUGGCGUAAUGAUGGCCAGGCUGUCUCCACCCGAGACUCAGUGAAAUUGAACUCGCUGUGAAGAUGCAGUGUACCCGCGGCAAGACGGAAAGACCCCGUGAACCUUUACUAUAGCUUGACACUGAACAUUGAGCCUUGAUGUGUAGGAUAGGUGGGAGGCUUUGAAGUGUGGACGCCAGUCUGCAUGGAGCCGACCUUGAAAUACCACCCUUUAAUGUUUGAUGUUCUAACGUUGACCCGUGAUCCGGGUUGCGGACAGUGUCUGGUGGGUAGUUUGACUGGGGCGGUCUCCUCCUAAAGAGUAACGGAGGAGCACGAAGGUUGGCUAAUCCUGGUCGGACAUCAGGAGGUUAGUGCAAUGGCAUAAGCCAGCUUGACUGCGAGCGUGACGGCGCGAGCAGGUGCGAAAGCAGGUCAUAGUGAUCCGGUGGUUCUGAAUGGAAGGGCCAUCGCUCAACGGAUAAAAGGUACUCCGGGGAUAACAGGCUGAUACCGCCCAAGAGUUCAUAUCGACGGCGGUGUUUGGCACCUCGAUGUCGGCUCAUCACAUCCUGGGGCUGAAGUAGGUCCCAAGGGUAUGGCUGUUCGCCAUUUAAAGUGGUACGCGAGCUGGGUUUAGAACGUCGUGAGACAGUUCGGUCCCUAUCUGCCGUGGGCGCUGGAGAAUUGAGGGGGGCUGCUCCUAGUACGAGAGGACCGGAGUGGACGCAUCACUGGUGUUCGGGUUGUCAUGCCAAUGGCACUGCCCGGUAGCUAAAUGCGGAAGAGAUAAGUGCUGAAAGCAUCUAAGCACGAAACUUGCCCCGAGAUGAGUUCUCCCUGACUCCUUGA